UCACAUGGUGUCUCUCUCCCUCUGCCUGUGUUGUAUCGCAGCCUCUCUGUGGUUUGUUUCCAUAGCCGGUCUGCUCCAACUGAAACUGCUGUUUUUAUCAUCUACGUCGGUGAAUUAAGGAUUUAUUUCCACCAAACCAGAGUUGGUGAUUGUUGGAAACACUAACAGAGACGCUUUUAAUGAGUUUUAUUCUGUUUCUGUCCACUUCGAAUGAAGUUCUGAUGAUCUGAAGGUAAAAUGAGUGUUUCUGUCUCUGGAGUCUGGUGGAGAGUGAUAGUGAUAUUACGGCUGUUUGUGGUUGAACUAAAGGUCUAUCUCUGUAGGGAUCCUUUCCACAAUGCUGUCAGACUCAGGUUGUUAUUGUCAGUGUCUGUCAGUGGCAGAAACAACUACUGUUAGUGGACGAACUCUUAACAGGUGCAUUUUCGCACCAGGAUUAGCUAACGUUACAUGGCAGCCCCCCUCAGUGGCUUUUUCUCAUCUAACUGUGAAUAAUAGGGUUAUUUCUACCAAACCAGCAUUGGUGAUUGUUGUUAAGACUAUCUACGACAGAUUUGUUGAGUUUUAGUUUCUUUUUCGUCCAAUUUUGAAGUGUGUUUUCUAAUUAUCUUCUAAAAUAUAAAUACUGGUUUUGUCAAUGGAGUCUGGAGUCUGAUCUGAAAUACUGGGGUUCUAGUGUGGCAUAUCAUGGCAGUGAAUUUAGUAUACACAACUUUAAUAGUUUUUGGAUAACAAUGAAGCUCUGUGGCACAGAGGAAGAAGAUAUAUCAGGCUCCGAUACACAUACACUCGUUAGUAGUGAUGAUCCAUUAAAAAAACCUCUAUUUGAAGCAGAUUUCCACCUCAUUCAACCCUCAAACAACUGGGGCUCUAACAGUUCAACAGCUAAAGUGUAUUUAUUUGUUUCACUCUGUGAAUUCCCCUGUCAGUUCCAUCUAAAUCAUCAAACAAUGCGCUGUUGUGAAGCUUCAUACAGAGACAGUAUUUUAUUGUGUGUGAAGUUUGCUGUAUGUCUUCUUGUAGUCGGACAGUUGUAUGUUUUUAGGUCACAGCAGCAACACAGCGCGUUUUUAUUCCAGAGAUCCUCUGCAGGCUGAACAUCCAUUAACUUCCUGUUUUAAAAUGAUUGUAAGGAGGCAGCAGCCUUGUGUUGACGUUUAUCACUGAGUGGAAGGGCUUUCACGCCCUUGAGCAAGGCACAUGCAGUGUCAGUAUAACUGCAGUUGAGAGUUGUCUUGAAGUUCCGUUGCUCUUCAUUGGAUUUCUUUGUUGUUUUCUGAAAUAAUGAUUACAGGUUUUAUAGAGUUUCAGCUGCAGUUUGAAAACAAUAAAUGAGACACAAGAAGACCUAAAAGCAGCACUUCUCCUUUAAAUGAUGUGUUAAUAGGAAACCGUUAAAGUUUACUGUCUAUUGUUUGAUCUCUGAUGUGUCUAAACAGGAUUUUUAGCUUUUUAUCCGCUGAUUACAGUGGUUACUCUCUGUGGGUAUUUGUUUCUCUGCUGUCUGAAAGUAAACAGGAGUAAACAAACCUAAUAGCACGUUUCAACUGCAGGAACUCAAAAUAUAAUGUGUAUCCAAAGUCACAGAUUCUUAUUUUGUUUCCACCGAUCCAUUGUUCCAAGUUUCCGGUACUUUUCAUUAACUGCUGCAUGUUAAUGGAGCUGGAUAACUAGCAGUGGAGAAUGGUUGUUGGACAAGCCGACACAUCUUCAGGCUUCACCUGUGAUUGUGAAGAAGAGGACAUUCAGAAGGAGCUGUUAUAAACCAAAAGGUGGACCAGAAGUCUUACUCGGUUUGAAACGAUGAAGGAUUGUGCUAUGAAGUGGCUGAAUGAGCUAGAAGCUGUUCUGGGCCACCAGGAUGUCCAGGUUGACUGCCUGUCAUUUUUUUAAAAGCCUUUCUUCGUCAUCUGUGAUGUGAAAUCAUCAGUUAGUGCACCUCGAAGCGUCUCUCCCGCCGGGCAGCAGACUAGAGCCACACAGCCCUCCGCUUCUAUCACAGUUAUAGUUUUGUGGUUUGUGGUCAGUCAUCAUUAUGGAGGAGUCCUCUUCCUCCUGCAGGCGCGACCCCGCGCCUGAACCAAACAGAGUUUUUCCAGCAUGUGAGAACAAAUCUGACCGUCUUCAGUGUGUUGUUGUUUUUCUGUGCUGCCCAUUAUUCUUCUUCCUAUGGCAUUUAACGGCAGACUAGAACACUUGUAGUUAGGGCUGUGUAUUGGCAAGGAUCUGGCGAUAUGAAAACGAUAUGAAAACACAACUGUAUCAGAGAUUUGGGUGAAACUGGAUCAGAUUUUAUGGAGAGAAUAAUGUCUGGUUUUCCCUCUGACGUCCUCCAGCUGCUCUGCCUCAACUGCACUAACUGCUAAUGUAGCUGCCAUUAACAUUAGCAACUGAACGGGGCUCAGCAGCCUCCCAGUGAACACAACCUCAGAGACAGACAGAGGACAUUUUGACGACAGCGGUACCGAGGUGAUUUAUGGGAGUUUCCAGAUGGACUUGUUGCUAAAAGAAACUAACUGUUGCCCUCCAGCAUCAGGUGCAUUCAGUCUGUUCACUGGGAGCUCCCAGUCCGACAGAGUGAGCUUAGGUUUUUCAAAACACCCCUAUGUAAUACGUAUAUGCUGCCCCAUCGGGUCUGGAAGAAUUGCAUCCCUUCUCAUUUUUGCAUCGACUUUGAACCGAACGGUUCUCAAGACAUCCCAGAAAAAGGAUGAAACCUUUUGAAGGUGGCAGGAACCUGAAUUGAAGCAGAAGUGUGAGGUGUGAAGAGAACCACAACUAAUAUAAUAGUCAUCUACAUCUGUCAUCAUCACUACACCUACAUCAAAAGCCUACAAUAAAGGAAGUAUAUUGGA
Dicentrarchus labrax (European seabass) is the source of this 2855-nucleotide long non-coding RNA. RefSeq lists it as uncharacterized. NCBI's taxonomy places the organism in Eukaryota, Metazoa, Chordata, Actinopteri, Moronidae. The record is from RefSeq and is a predicted model, not a curated record. The transcript is spliced from 2 exons.